CUGCUUUUCAUCUUUCUCUCUAAGGUUCAACUGAUCUCUUCCUGCUGAAAACCUCUCUUUUUUAUAGUCUGAACAAGGCUGUAGCUGUAAAACCUGGCAGACCCUGCAUUGUAUUCCGAGUUGAUAGGGGGAGGGAGUUUCUCCUGGAAAAUAAGGAGGAGGAAACCUCAGCCCUGGAGCAGGGACAGGCACAGACAAAGGCAGUGGCGGACAUUUUCCAAAGUACAGACCUUAGUGAAGGACACCAAGAAACGGAAGGAUAAAUAUACUCUAGAAGUAUUCAAGAGACUUUUGCUAUGAGAACGGACAUCCCCAGAUGCUUCCCUUUAAGAGUUUCCAGGGACAAUUAGUACCACCACUCAAGACAAUGUACAGACUCAUUUUUGGGGAUUACGCCAUCCUCAUUUUGCCAUCUGGUGCGAGGGGAGUACAGCAGCAUAUCCUACCCAAUUAGCUAUUAAUCUAAUCAACGGAAUUAUUCAUCUGACCGGAGAAAGCAAACGGAACAUUUGUAGCAGCUGCUGAAGCACAAGUUGUCUCCUUACCCACUGUCACCCUCACAUCUGCAGUCACCCACACCCAUCACAUAUCCCCACCCAUAUCCCCAAGUCUGCAAGACAUAUUACAAUACACCAGGAGGAAAAUAUAACCCUUCUUUAUCUAAAUGGGUAGGAGAAGCCAGUUAUAGUUGUUGUUGCAAGAAAUGUGGUUUCCAAAAAUAUGCAUAAUUAUGUGUAUUUAUGUCUCUGAAAGGAACAUUCUAGAGUAAAGAAAUGAUCUACUUCCGCAAUUUAUGUUUGAAGGGAGAUUGUACUGAAUAUGUCUCCUUUAAUAUGCUCCUAUUGAUCCAGUUUACCUGCUGGAGUGUAUAAAAUUGUUUAUAAAUAGCUCUUUCAACUUUAUUUUGUUAUUUGGAAUAGCCACUUAAGUCCCCUAUGAAAAUUUCAGUAAUGUAGUAUUGGUUAUAGAAAAGUUAUGUAAACAAGAUAUAGCAUUAGAAAUCAAUCUCACAGUGGGGGUGCGGUAUGUGAGAGUGAACCCUGUCUAUUUGAAAGAGUACUCCUGUAGCAUCUUUGAAUACAAUAAACACUUAUUAGCUGAUUGCCUGAAUAUAUUGUACCUUUAAGGGAAUUCUCUUAUUCACAAUAAAAAACAAAUUAUUAAACAUGUA
Long non-coding RNA from Bombina bombina (fire-bellied toad), 1171 nucleotides. RefSeq lists it as uncharacterized. The transcript is spliced from 3 exons. The record is from RefSeq and is a predicted model, not a curated record. NCBI's taxonomy places the organism in Eukaryota, Metazoa, Chordata, Amphibia, Anura, Bombinatoridae.